GGUGGGAUCGCUUAGUGGCCUAGAGCGGAUGUUUCGAAAACAUCUGUUGCCGAAAGGUGACCGCAGGUUCGAAUCCUGCUCCCACCG
Molecule: transfer RNA, 87 nt
Filed under: Candidatus Daviesbacteria bacterium RIFCSPHIGHO2_02_FULL_39_12
Lineage: Bacteria; Candidatus Daviesiibacteriota
Also listed under: 1 other name
Description: tRNA-Ser
Rfam family: tRNA
About the family: Transfer RNA (tRNA) molecules are approximately 80 nucleotides in length.
Source: RNAcentral